This 1002-nucleotide ribosomal RNA is filed under the name Agreia sp. RNAcentral describes it as "bacterial SSU rRNA". It matches the Rfam family "Bacterial small subunit ribosomal RNA", at positions 56 to 1070 of the family's 1533-position model. Lineage: Bacteria; Bacillati; Actinomycetota; Actinomycetes; Micrococcales; Microbacteriaceae. The record is from RNAcentral.
UGCAAGUCGAACGAUGAAGCCUAGCUUGCUGGGUGGAUUAGUGGCGAACGGGUGAGUAACACGUGAGUAACCUGCCCUUGACUCUGGGAUAAGCACUGGAAACGGUGUCUAAUACCGGAUAUUUCAGCUGGCCGCAUGGUCUGGUUGUGGAAAGAAUUUUGGUCAAGGAUGGACUCGCGGCCUAUCAGGUUGUUGGUGAGGUAAUGGCUCACCAAGCCUACGACGGGUAGCCGGCCUGAGAGGGUGACCGGCCACACUGGGACUGAGACACGGCCCAGACUCCUACGGGAGGCAGCAGUGGGGAAUAUUGCACAAUGGGCGAAAGCCUGAUGCAGCAACGCCGCGUGAGGGACGACGGCCUUCGGGUUGUAAACCUCUUUUAGUAGGGAAGAAGCGAAAGUGACGGUACCUGCAGAAAAAGCACCGGCUAACUACGUGCCAGCAGCCGCGGUAAUACGUAGGGUGCAAGCGUUGUCCGGAAUUAUUGGGCGUAAAGAGCUCGUAGGCGGUUUGUCGCGUCUGCUGUGAAAACUGGAGGCUCAACCUCCAGCCUGCAGUGGGUACGGGCAGACUAGAGUGCGGUAGGGGAGAUUGGAAUUCCUGGUGUAGCGGUGGAAUGCGCAGAUAUCAGGAGGAACACCGAUGGCGAAGGCAGAUCUCUGGGCCGUAACUGACGCUGAGGAGCGAAAGCAUGGGGAGCGAACAGGAUUAGAUACCCUGGUAGUCCAUGCCGUAAACGUUGGGAACUAGAUGUGGGGGCCAUUCCACGGUCUCCGUGUCGCAGCUAACGCAUUAAGUUCCCCGCCUGGGGAGUACGGCCGCAAGGCUAAAACUCAAAGGAAUUGACGGGGGCCCGCACAAGCGGCGGAGCAUGCGGAUUAAUUCGAUGCAACGCGAAGAACCUUACCAAGGCUUGACAUAUACGAGAACGGGCCAGAAAUGGUCAACUCUUUGGACACUCGUAAACAGGUGGUGCAUGGUUGUCGUCAGCUCGUGUCGUGA